GAGGCUCAGAGAAAGGUAGAUCCCAUUCCGAGUCAGUGGUGAAGCCGACACGGAAACCGGGUGCCCUACUUAGUCUGUAGGUGGGAGAGGUGCAGAGAACGUUCACUUUCCAGCCUAGGGUGGGCGGGGGAGGGUCUGUCCCUAGCCCGCAUGGAUGGGGAGGAUUUGGUGGAGAGGAGGCGCCCUCCUCACCAUCGCCCGGCCUCCCGGGCCACCCUUCGGAUGUCCCCUCCCUUCCUUCACCGACUGUCUCUCGCAGCAGCCCAGACACGUUUCGGACCGGGACCCACGCACAGGCCCCUCCCCGGUCUUGGAAGGCCCUUCCUCUGAGAACAAAGAGAUGUUGGGCCAGAUCAUCUUCCACGCUUCUUCAGCUCCGAGAUAGGAACGCGGUCCCCCACCACUCACAGGCCGGCUGCUCCUCACCCAUCCGGUCUCACUGGGACGCCACGUUCCUCAGGGAAGCCAGUCGGGAACGUUUUUUUUGUUUGUUUGUUUGUUUUUGAGACGGAGUUCUAUGUUAUCCAGGCUGGUGUCGAACUCCUGGGCUCAAGCGAUCCUCCCAACUCGGCCUCCAAAAGUUUACAGGCGUGAGCCACGGUGCCCAGCCUCCUGUGCCUUUUAAUUCACUGAUGCAAUUGUUGAUCCAGCCCUGUCAGCCCCGAGGGUAGGGUCUGAGGUUGCUGCUGUAUCCCUGGCACUCAGUGGAGGCUUGGCCCAAAGAAAGAGGUUUUUUUGUUUUUUUUUUUUUUUCCCAAGACGGGAGUCUCACUCUGUCACCCAGGCUGGAGUGCAGUGGCAUGAUCUCAGCUCACUGCAACCUCUGCCUCCUGGGUUCAAGCGAUUCUUCUGCCUCAGCCUACCGAGUAGCUGGGAUUACAGGCACGUGUCAACACGCCCAGCUAAUUUUUGUAUUUUUAGUAGAGAUGGGUUUUCACCAUGUUGGCUAGGUUGGUCUCAAACUCCUGACCUCAGGUGAUCCACCCACCUCAGCCUCCGAAAGUGCCUGGAUUACAGGCGUAAGCCACUGCGCUCGGCCCAAAGUAAGAGCUUUGAACCUGUCAGCUUUAAGAUUGAGUGAUUGUUUAGAUACUGGAGUACAGCAUCUGGACUCCAGGCCUCCCUGAGGGGUUAUGUGGAGGCCUUUGGCCUGCUGUCCCCACCUGGGGAGUUUGGGGAGAGAUGUGCUUUGAGCCUGGCAUGGUUCGCUCCCUCUGGCAUUUAUCUCCUUGGUUGGUUGGAAGCCCAUCUCCAACUAUGGAGUCUGCCCUCCCAAAGCUGACAAGAGCAACUUUUUUUUUUUUUUUUUUUUUUGAGACGGAGUCUCGCUCUGUCACUCAGGCUGGAGUGCAAUGGCGCGAUUUUGGCUCAUUGCAACCUCCACCUCCUGGGUUCAAGCGAUUCUCCUACCUCAGCCUCCUGAGUAGCUGCGAUUACAGGCACUCACCACCACGCCCAGCUAAUUUUUCUAUUUUUAGUAGAGAUAGGGUUUCUCCAUGUUGGUCAGGGUGACUUCAGGUGAUCUGCCUCCUGCCUCAGCCUCCCAAAGUGCUGGGAUUAUAGGCGUGAGCCACUGUGCCCGGCCAAGAGCAACUUUUUUAAACCUACAGUCCAAUUCUUUUCCCUUAUCUCUCAGGAGACUUUGGGCUCACCUAGGAGCCCACUUUUACCUCCUUCCUCAGUUGUGCAUAUAACAGAGGAAGGGGCAGAAUCGGCCUUCAGGGUUUAAAGGGGCCAUGAGUCGGGGUCAGCCCUGAGGAGGAGUGGGGUGAAUGCUAUCCCAGGAUAGAGAUGGAGCCCUGGUGGCCUGAUUCCUCCUGGCCUGGCCAGUACCACUGAAGCUUCCCAACACCUCCAAGCUUAUUAAAGAACCAGAGUGACUUGCCUGUCCCAGAGAGACUUGGGAUGGUCAGAAACGGGGGUGAGGGGCCCGGGGCAAGCCAAGCCUGUAAAUGAUGGCAGCCUGGGGCUUUAGUUUGGGAACACACUCACACCUCCUACAGGUCAGGCUGCACACUCGUGUUAUUUGAUAACCCCAUCUGCAGGUGAGGAAACUGAGGCGCAGUUAUUUGUCCUCAGGCAUGCUCCUUAGAGGCCACUUGAUUGCAGAGAAGGUCUACAGAGCAGUGGUUAGAACUUGGCCCUGAGGACAGAGCUUUUGCUCCGUAUGAGGCUGGCAGGUAACGAUCUUCUCAGUUUUCUCCCCAGGAAUCUGGAACGAUGAAGGUGAUGAUUGUGCCUGUGGCCAAGACCGGGAGAACCCUGGAUCCCUACACCUUCCCCACCCCUGGAAUGUCACUAUACAUAUCUGACUUCUUCUGAUGUUGCCUUUGACCCUAAAGUCAAUAUGAUAAAGUAACAAGAAGCUGGGACAGAGGAACAAACACAGCCCACUCAAGCAGUGGUGGCAACAUUCUGUUAGAAAGGAGGGGAGUCAAAGAAAAAAACACCCCUCCGCCCAUCUCCUUAUCACCUCCCUAAAGACAGAGGAGAACAUGGACACCCUCCAUCCUGAUAGACAUGCCAUGUGGUCAGUUUGUGCGGUAAACAGGAAAAAAAAAAAACCUAAAGAUAUUGUAGACCUUUAUUUUCUUUAAAUCUCCUAAUAAAAACAUUAAACUUUCAAGAAGAUUCCAAACUGA
RNAcentral lists this long non-coding RNA (2642 nucleotides) under Homo sapiens (human). Its description in RNAcentral is "HSALNT0354973". Lineage: Eukaryota; Metazoa; Chordata; Mammalia; Primates; Hominidae. The record is from RNAcentral.